ACGCUCGACACCUACUGGAGGCAGCAGUGGGGAAUAUUGCACAAUGGGGGAAACCCUGAUGCAGCGACGCCGCGUGGAGGAAGAAGGUCUUCGGAUUGUAAACUCCUGUUGUUGGGGAAAAAGAGGAUGGUACCCAACAAGGAAGUGACGGCUAACUACGUGUCAGCAGCCGCGGUAAUCUGAGCGGGCUGGCAAGGC
Molecule: ribosomal RNA, 198 nt
Filed under: uncultured bacterium
Lineage: Bacteria
Description: partial 16S ribosomal RNA
Rfam family: Bacterial small subunit ribosomal RNA
Source: RNAcentral